This 1042-nucleotide long non-coding RNA is filed under the name Camelus dromedarius (Arabian camel). RNAcentral describes it as "lncRNA (ENSCDRG00005017502.1)". Lineage: Eukaryota; Metazoa; Chordata; Mammalia; Artiodactyla; Camelidae. The record is from RNAcentral.
CCAUAUAUCUGUUUCUAAAUUAGAAUGCUAUAGCCUGAAAUGGCUUAAAACAGAGGGAACAAUUCAUAGGGAUGUCAACAUUCUCCCAUCUCCAGUCAGUAUUUAUUGAAACCCCUUUAGUUGCCAGGCACAGGGCUGCGCAGGAGGGGCCCCUGGGAACAAGGCGAACACAGACCUUACCCGUCAACUCUGCCUGGUUCAGUCACUUAGCUGACAGACCUCAUCCUGACACCUGGAAAUGGCCCACCGGACCUAGCCAGCAUUCCUGCACGAAGAUGCUGUACUUCAUUUACGGUGCAAAGCCAGGGAACUGGAUACUCGGAUCAUGUAGUCAGCAAGACGUAAGUACCCGGCGUAUGCUCAGAGCGGGGUCUGGGCUUACUGGCGCUGACCCCGACAGGACAUCUGCCCUUCCCGCUUACGGGCCCCGGAGCGGGCAGCUGGUGACAGACCGCCGGGUCACUGCGGUGUGGUGCCACACUCCCGACACUGGGUCACGGCGCAGAAAUCAGAGCCUGCAAAGAACAGUCGAGGGGAAACCUGAAAACUUAAGCUUGUGGUUUGCAACAGAGGGCCCAGCAUGGACAAUCCAGGAGCCCACCUUUGAAAUAUGCCAGUGUCGUCAGUGUGUGAAGAAAAUUCUAGAGGAGAAGAGAAAACCACUUCAAAUUAUAUGCAUUCGUCGUAAGAAGCGGUCAUGUUCAAUGAACAAAGAAGGAGAAGGGCUCACACAUGGUGACAGCGUUUGUUUUAACCAUUUCACUCAGCCUAGUAAGGAUUCAUUAAAGACAGUCUGCAGCACAUGCUUUAUUCAGGGCAGUGCGCUUUAUGUACCAGCAUUUGCUCGUAAGCAUGUAUAUCACCAUUCUCAGAAGAGCAGAGGGCAAAUGACGUCACUCAGUGCUUUUACUUUUUCUCAAAAAUAAAUGCAUUGGUUUUUUUAAAAAAUCAUUUGAUUCUUAAAAGUAACACAUAUUUCUUGUAUUGGAAAAUACAAAAUAAAUCAGGGCAGGAAAAAGAAAAAAACAUGCUAUAUUGUUUC